RNAcentral lists this ribosomal RNA (596 nucleotides) under uncultured bacterium. RNAcentral's name for it is "bacterial SSU rRNA". It matches the Rfam family "Bacterial small subunit ribosomal RNA", at positions 28 to 715 of the family's 1533-position model. The record is from RNAcentral.
GACGAACGCUGGCAGCGCGCCUAACACAUGCAAGUCGAACGGAGUGGCGGACGGGUGAGUAACACGUGAGCAACCUGCCUAUCAGAGGGGGAUAACGAUUGGAAACGAUCGCUAAUACCGCAUGCUGAUAGAUGGGCUCGCGUCCGAUUAGAUAGUUGGUGGGGUAACGGCCUACCAAGUCGACGAUCGGUAGCCGGACUGAGAGGUCGAACGGCCACAUUGGGACUGAGACACGGCCCAGACUCCUACGGGAGGCGGCAGUGGGGGAUAUUGCACAAUGGGGGAAACCCUGAUGCAGCGACGCCGCGUGAGGGAAGACGGUCCUUGGAUUGUAAACCUCUGUCUUCGGGGACGCGGUACCCGAGGAGGAAGCCACGGCUAACUACGUGCCAGCAGCCGCGGUAAUACGUAGGUGGCAAGCGUUGUCCGGAAUUACUGGGUGUAAAGGGAGCGUAGGCGGGCAGGCAAGUCAGGCGUGAAAUAUAUCGGCUCAACCGGUAACGGCGCUUGAAACUGCAGGUCUUGAGUGAAGUAGAGGUUGGCGGAAUUCCUAGUGUAGCGGUGAAAUGCGUAGAUAUUAGGAGGAACACCAGUGG